ACUAAGCGUACACGGUGGAUGCCCUGGCAGUCAGAGGCGAUGAAGGACGUGCUAAUCUGCGAUAAGCGUCGGUGAGGUGAUAUGAACCGUUAUAACCGGCGAUUUCCGAAUGGGGAAACCCAGUGUGUUUCGACACACUAUCAUUAACUGAAUCCAUAGGUUAAUGAGGCGAACCGGGGGAACUGAAACAUCUAAGUACCCCGAGGAAAAGAAAUCAACCGAGAUUCCCCCAGUAGCGGCGAGCGAACGGGGAGGAGCCCAGAGCCUGAAUCAGUGUGUGUGUUAGUGGAAGCGUCUGGAAAGGCGCGCGAUACAGGGUGACAGCCCCGUACACAAAAAUGCACAUAUUGUGAGCUCGAUGAGUAGGGCGGGACACGUGGUAUCCUGUCUGAAUAUGGGGGGACCAUCCUCCAAGGCUAAAUACUCCUGACUGACCGAUAGUGAACCAGUACCGUGAGGGAAAGGCGAAAAGAACCCCGGCGAGGGGAGUGAAAAAGAACCUGAAACCGUGUACGUACAAGCAGUGGGAGCCUCUUAAUGGGGUGACUGCGUACCUUUUGUAUAAUGGGUCAGCGACUUAUAUUCUGUAGCAAGGUUAACCGAAUAGGGGAGCCGAAGGGAAACCGAGUCUUAACUGGGCGUUAAGUUGCAGGGUAUAGACCCGAAACCCGGUGAUCUAGCCAUGGGCAGGUUGAAGGUUGGGUAACACUAACUGGAGGACCGAACCGACUAAUGUUGAAAAAUUAGCGGAUGACUUGUGGCUGGGGGUGAAAGGCCAAUCAAACCGGGAGAUAGCUGGUUCUCCCCGAAAGCUAUUUAGGUAGCGCCUCGUGAAUUCAUCUCCGGGGGUAGAGCACUGUUUCGGCAAGGGGGUCAUCCCGACUUACCAACCCGAUGCAAACUGCGAAUACCGGAGAAUGUUAUCACGGGAGACACACGGCGGGUGCUAACGUCCGUCGUGAAGAGGGAAACAACCCAGACCGCCAGCUAAGGUCCCAAAGUCAUGGUUAAGUGGGAAACGAUGUGGGAAGGCCCAGACAGCCAGGAUGUUGGCUUAGAAGCAGCCAUCAUUUAAAGAAAGCGUAAUAGCUCACUGGUCGAGUCGGCCUGCGCGGAAGAUGUAACGGGGCUAAACCAUGCACCGAAGCUGCGGCAGCGACGCUUAUGCGUUGUUGGGUAGGGGAGCGUUCUGUAAGCCUGUGAAGGUGUGCUGUGAGGCAUGCUGGAGGUAUCAGAAGUGCGAAUGCUGACAUAAGUAACGAUAAAGCGGGUGAAAAGCCCGCUCGCCGGAAGACCAAGGGUUCCUGUCCAACGUUAAUCGGGGCAGGGUGAGUCGACCCCUAAGGCGAGGCCGAAAGGCGUAGUCGAUGGGAAACAGGUUAAUAUUCCUGUACUUGGUGUUACUGCGAAGGGGGGACGGAGAAGGCUAUGUUGGCCGGGCGACGGUUGUCCCGGUUUAAGCGUGUAGGCUGGUUUUCCAGGCAAAUCCGGAAAACCAAGGCUGAGGCGUGAUGACGAGGCACUACGGUGCUGAAGCAACAAAUGCCCUGCUUCCAGGAAAAGCCUCUAAGCAUCAGGUAACAUCAAAUCGUACCCCAAACCGACACAGGUGGUCAGGUAGAGAAUACCAAGGCGCUUGAGAGAACUCGGGUGAAGGAACUAGGCAAAAUGGUGCCGUAACUUCGGGAGAAGGCACGCUGAUAUGUAGGUGAAGCGACUUGCUCGUGGAGCUGAAAUCAGUCGAAGAUACCAGCUGGCUGCAACUGUUUAUUAAAAACACAGCACUGUGCAAACACGAAAGUGGACGUAUACGGUGUGACGCCUGCCCGGUGCCGGAAGGUUAAUUGAUGGGGUUAGCGGCAACGCGAAGCUCUUGAUCGAAGCCCCGGUAAACGGCGGCCGUAACUAUAACGGUCCUAAGGUAGCGAAAUUCCUUGUCGGGUAAGUUCCGACCUGCACGAAUGGCGUAAUGAUGGCCAGGCUGUCUCCACCCGAGACUCAGUGAAAUUGAACUCGCUGUGAAGAUGCAGUGUACCCGCGGCAAGACGGAAAGACCCCGUGAACCUUUACUAUAGCUUGACACUGAACAUUGAGCCUUGAUGUGUAGGAUAGGUGGGAGGCUUUGAAGUGUGGACGCCAGUCUGCAUGGAGCCGACCUUGAAAUACCACCCUUUAAUGUUUGAUGUUCUAACGUUGGCCCGUAAUCCGGGUUGCGGACAGUGUCUGGUGGGUAGUUUGACUGGGGCGGUCUCCUCCUAAAGAGUAACGGAGGAGCACGAAGGUUGGCUAAUCCUGGUCGGACAUCAGGAGGUUAGUGCAAUGGCAUAAGCCAGCUUGACUGCGAGCGUGACGGCGCGAGCAGGUGCGAAAGCAGGUCAUAGUGAUCCGGUGGUUCUGAAUGGAAGGGCCAUCGCUCAACGGAUAAAAGGUACUCCGGGGAUAACAGGCUGAUACCGCCCAAGAGUUCAUAUCGACGGCGGUGUUUGGCACCUCGAUGUCGGCUCAUCACAUCCUGGGGCUGAAGUAGGUCCCAAGGGUAUGGCUGUUCGCCAUUUAAAGUGGUACGCGAGCUGGGUUUAGAACGUCGUGAGACAGUUCGGUCCCUAUCUGCCGUGGGCGCUGGAGAACUGAGGGGGGCUGCUCCUAGUACGAGAGGACCGGAGUGGACGCAUCACUGGUGUUCGGGUUGUCAUGCCAAUGGCACUGCCCGGUAGCUAAAUGCGGAAGAGAUAAGUGCUGAAAGCAUCUAAGCACGAAACUUGCCCCGAGAUGAGUUCUCCCUGAGACUUAGAGUCUCCUGAAGGAACGUUGAAGACGACGACGUUGAUAGGCCGGGUGUGUAAGCGCAGCGAUGCGUUGAGCUAACCGGUACUAAUGAACCGUGAGGCUUAACC
RNAcentral lists this ribosomal RNA (2894 nucleotides) under Escherichia coli. RNAcentral describes it as "bacterial LSU rRNA". It matches the Rfam family "Bacterial large subunit ribosomal RNA". The record is from RNAcentral. Lineage: Bacteria; Pseudomonadati; Pseudomonadota; Gammaproteobacteria; Enterobacterales; Enterobacteriaceae.